This 574-nucleotide ribosomal RNA is filed under the name Vibrio sp. RNAcentral describes it as "bacterial SSU rRNA". It matches the Rfam family "Bacterial small subunit ribosomal RNA", at positions 355 to 921 of the family's 1533-position model. Lineage: Bacteria; Pseudomonadati; Pseudomonadota; Gammaproteobacteria; Vibrionales; Vibrionaceae. The record is from RNAcentral.
GUGGGGAUAUUGCACAAUGGGCGAAAGCCUGAUGCAGCCAUGCCGCGUGUAUGAAGAAGGCCUUCGGGUUGUAAAGUACUUUCAGUUGUGAGGAAGGGUGUGUAGUUAAUAGCUGCGCAUCUUGACGUUAGCAACAGAAGAAGCACCGGCUAACUCCGUGCCAGCAGCCGCGGUAAUACGGAGGGUGCGAGCGUUAAUCGGAAUUACUGGGCGUAAAGCGCAUGCAGGUGGUUCAUUAAGUCAGAUGUGAAAGCCCGGGGCUCAACCUCGGAACUGCAUUUGAAACUGGUGAACUAGAGUGCUGUAGAGGGGGGUAGAAUUUCAGGUGUAGCGGUGAAAUGCGUAGAGAUCUGAAGGAAUACCAGUGGCGAAGGCGGCCCCCUGGACAGACACUGACACUCAGAUGCGAAAGCGUGGGGAGCAAACAGGAUUAGAUACCCUGGUAGUCCACGCCGUAAACGAUGUCUACUUGGAGGUUGUGGCCUUGAGCCGUGGCUUUCGGAGCUAACGCGUUAAGUAGACCGCCUGGGGAGUACGGUCGCAAGAUUAAAACUCAAAUGAAUUGACGGGGGCC